Molecule: long non-coding RNA, 638 nt
Filed under: Amborella trichopoda
Lineage: Eukaryota; Viridiplantae; Streptophyta; Magnoliopsida; Amborellales; Amborellaceae
Description: long non-coding RNA (ATRI_LNC001631)
Source: RNAcentral
CCAACUUGUGGAUACUCAAACUUAGCAAUGCGGUGAGCCCGAGUUACUCGAUAUGAGUCCAAGUUGGCUCGUCGGAGUUUAUAGAUACCUGAUUUGGAUGGAAAUCGGUUAGAAUGGUUUUGAAAAUUUUAAUGGGUCGGCCUUGUACCUUAAAAAAAAAAAAACUUUAUAUAUUUUCUCCCUUCUCUUUAAGCGUGUGAUGGUCUUCCAAGCCCCCAUAAAUCUUUAUUUUAAUUUUUAUUUUUUUAAAAUUCCUGAUUCGAACAGAUCUAAACCGUCUAAAUCACGUAUUCAACAAUCCAAUAUAGAUCUGUGGAUGCCACAAAUGGAGAGUUUUAAAACACCGAACAAGAGAGAAAAAGCAAUGGAAAAGGGCAUUGAAACAUACUCGGAAGCUGGGACACUACAUAGGCAGCACCAUGAAAAUCACAGGUGCCGGUGGUGCGGGCGUUCUUCUGGUAAUAACUAUUGAAGGCGAAGGAUGCAUGCGCUUUGAGCGUGUCGGGGUCGUAGCAGGAAGCCCCCGGCUGGAUCUCCUUGCAGUCAGCACCACCCUCCCCACAGGCAUAAUCAAGGGCCGCCUGCAACUGAUCCUCGCUCGCCUCCUCGCUAGCAACGCACCAGCUCUGCCCCCCAGC